GGAAACCUAGCCCACGCCGGCCCAUCAAUAGACCUUGCCAUCUUCGCCCUACACUUAGCAGGAGGAGACCCAAUCCUAUUCCAACACUUAUUCUGAUUCUUUGGCCACCCGGAAGUCUACAUUCUUAUCCUACCCGGAUUUGGAAUAAUCUCACACAUUGUUACCCAUCACUCCAGCAAAAAAGAACCCUUCGGCUAUAUAAGCAUAGUUUGAGCCAUACUAGCAAUUACCGUCCUAGGAUUUAUUGUUUGAGCACAUCACAUGUUCACAGUAGGACUAGACGUCGACACCCGUGCCUACUUCUCAGCAGCCACCAUAACCAUUGCAGUCCCCACCGGAAUCAAAGUGUUUAGCUGAGCCGCUACAAUCUUCGGCGGAAAAAUCCGUUGAACCGUACCAAUAUUCUGAGCUGCAGGAUUCAUUUACCUAUUUACACUCGGCGGCCUCACCGGCAUUAUAUUAUCAAACUCUUCCCUAGACACAAUACUACAUGACACAUAUUACGUAGUUGCCCACUUCCACUACGUACUCUCCAUAGGAGCCGUAUUCGCCAUCAUAGCUGGACUAGUAUACUGAUUCCCAAUACUAACAGGAUACUCACUAAACUCAACCCUAGCAAAAGCCCAAUUCUGAGCCAUGUUCACAGGAGUCAACAUCACUUUCUUCCCACAACAUAUACUAGGCCUCGCAGGAAUACCUCGACGAUACUCGGACUUCCCAGACGCCUAUGCUAUUUGAAAUACCAUUUCCUCAAUGGGUUCAAUUAUAUCCCUAGUCAGCGCUCUCACCAUAAUCGUAAUUUUAUGAGAAGCAUUC
Molecule: long non-coding RNA, 816 nt
Filed under: Pogona vitticeps (central bearded dragon)
Lineage: Eukaryota; Metazoa; Chordata; Lepidosauria; Squamata; Agamidae
Description: lncRNA (ENSPVIG00000001141.1)
Source: RNAcentral